CAGUCGCCACGGUAAUACGAGGGGGGCAAGCGUUGUUCGGAAUUAUUGGGCGUAAAGGGUGCGUAGGCGGUUUGAUAAGUCAUCUGUGAAAUCUCUGGGCUCAACCCAGAGUCUGCAGGCGAAACUGUCGGGCUUGAGUAUGGGAGAGGUGAGUGGAAUUUCCGGUGUAGCAGUGAAAUGCGUAGAGAUCGGAAGGAACAUCUGUGGCGAAGGCGACUAUCUGAGCCAACACUGACACUGAGGCACGAAAGCGUGGGGAGCAAACAGGAUUAGAUACCCGCGUAGUCCCUGUCUCUAUACA
RNAcentral lists this ribosomal RNA (301 nucleotides) under uncultured bacterium. RNAcentral describes it as "partial 16S ribosomal RNA". It matches the Rfam family "Bacterial small subunit ribosomal RNA", at positions 509 to 808 of the family's 1533-position model. The record is from RNAcentral.